This is an RNA transcript of Panicum virgatum (switchgrass), 2407 nucleotides long. It is a transcript of the gene named plasma membrane ATPase 2-like, with no coding region annotated. The record is from RefSeq and is a predicted model, not a curated record. NCBI's taxonomy places the organism in Eukaryota, Viridiplantae, Streptophyta, Magnoliopsida, Poales, Poaceae. The transcript has 12 exons.
CGACAGCCCCGCAAGGCGCCAGCGGAGACCCGCCCUGCGCCGGGGGCCGGAGUGCCGCGCGCCUCCCCUCCAGCGGCCUGCGGGCUCGGACGCCGCCGCCGGGAGGCGCCACCUGUGGGCUCGGCCGCCGCCUCCGGGACGCCUGCCGCCUGCGGGCUCCGGAUCCUCCCUCUCCCUCGCCGGAUCUGCAGCUCCCUUGGCCGGAUCUGCUUCAGCGUAGCGUUCCUUCGCCUGGGCGACAUGGACGCACUGGCCGGCCACGCCGCAGGCCGGCGUUGCCUCUGUGCCGCGCUCGUGCUCGCGCACGUGGAGGCGCUGGCCGGUGACGCGGCAGGCCGGCCUUGCCUCUGUGCUGCGCUCGCGCGCGGAGGCCCUGGACGACCGGCCGUGGCCACGGUGGCCGGCGCCUGCCCGGGGGGCGCCUCUCUGCUGCUAGAUUACUUCCCCUCUUCCGGUUGCUCCAGCUUGCUUCUCUCACUUUCCCGCUUCUUUUUUCUCCAUUCUAUUUCAGAUCCGGGAUGGCGUAAAGGGACGAGCGUUCUGGCGGCGGUUGGUCCGGCGAGGGAGCUCUGCGGCAAGCCACACGGAGUGGCGGCCCCGACAUGCUCACACAUGCGUGGACAGAAGAAUCUGACCACAAAUUGCUGCAGAAACACAACGCUCAUGGCGCGGACUUCCCAUCCGUGCUGCAGGUGCGGGCCCAGUCACCGCUUGAGCCGUGCACAGUGAUAAAACUGGAACAUUGACCCUGAACAAGCUUACUGUGGACAAGAACCUUGUUAAAGUUUUUGAAAGAGGCAUUGCUCAGGAUCAAGUGAUUCUUCACACGUGCUGGUAUCCAAGAAGUUCACUUCCUGCCAUUCAAUCCUACUGACAAAAGAACAGCAUUGACAUACAUCGACAGUGAUGGCAAAAUGUUCCGUAUAAUCCAUCUGGCUCACAAUAAGUCAGAGAUAGAGAGGAGGGUUCAUGCUGUGAUUGCUAAAUUUGCAGAGCGUGGACUUAAAUCACUUGCUGUCGCACAUCAGGAAGUACCUGAGGGGAGGAAAGAAAGUCCUGGUGGCCCAUGGCACUUCGUUGGUCUCAUGCCACUUUUUGACCCUCCAAGACAUGACAGCGCUAAAACAAUUCGAAGGGCACCCAACCUUGGAGUUAAUGUCAAGAUGAUCACAGGUGUUCAGCUGGCAGUUGGAAAGGAAACAGGUCGUCGCCUUGGAAUGGGUACAAAUAUGUAUCCUUCUUCUGCUUUGUUAGGACAGAACAAGGAUGAGUCUAUUGCUGCUUUACCAGUUGAUGAUCUCAUCGAGAAAGCUGAUGGUUUUGCUGGUGUAUUCCCUGAACACAAGUAUGAGAUUGUGAAACGUCUGCAAGCAUGGAAGCAAUUCUAAAUGAUGGUACCAUAAUGACUAUAUCAAAGGAUCGUGUAAAACCAUCCCCACUACCUGACAGCUGCUGGAAGCUCGCUGAAAUUUUCACUACUGGAGUUUUCCUUGGUGGAUAUCAGAGAAUAUUUCAUGUUGAAAGCCUUGAGAAGACUGCUCAAGAUGAUUUCCAGAAGCUUGCCUCUGCUGUUUACCUGCAAGUCAGCACCAUAAGCCAAGCUAUCAUCUUCGUGACGAGGUCCUGGAGCUGGUCAUUUCUCAUUUGUUGAGCGACCAGGGUUUCUACUGGUCUUUGCGUUCUUGGUUGUGCAGCUGAUUGCUACGCUGAUUGCUGCGUACGCCGACUGGGCAUUCACUUCAAUCAAAGGCAUUGGGUGGGGCUGGGCUGGAAUUGUGUGGCUUUACAACAUCAUCUUCUACUUUCAAUUGCAAAGAACAAAAGAUGCAGGAAGGUGACAUCUGCACUUUCAAUGUUGUCGAAGCCAAGCUUUGGCAUGUUGUUAUCACACAACAACAACAACAACAACAACAACAUAGCCUUUUUUCCCAAGCAAGUUGGGGUAGGCCAUGUUGUUAUCACACGCUGUGAGGAAAAGAUAGAUCAGUUAUGCAUUUCUUUACCACUGUCCUGUAAGGCACUUGGACUCCGAGAACCUUGCACAAUCACACUCAAGACUCCAACUAGCAGCACCGCAGAGAAGAGGGAAGAGGCGGCACCACAGUCGACGUUGCCUUGUGGGGCAACAGCACCCAGGAAGCUUUGUACUGGGUGCCGCACUGUGGGGCUGUUACAACAGCAAUUUCAUAUUCAGUUCCGAUCAAGGGAUCAAUACUUCUUCCAAGCAACUCAGUUCCUGAAUUAUGAGCACUGCUGGACUCUGGUGUGCUAUUGUAGUGUCUUCUAUUCUCUUAAUAUUUAGAAUGUGCCUCGGCAACUUAUGGCAGUGCUACUUCUUUGAUUUUAUAUUUCUUAUAGGAGUAAGUUGUCACUCCAUGUUUAUAUUAAGUCAUUGCAGAAGUUACAA